AUGGCUGCUACAUUUUCUCUAAUUCCCGCAAAUCGUAAAAGGCCGCACACCGGGUUUCCGCGGUAACUUCACGAAGCUUCCGGUCGCCGAAAUGUCACAAAACGCAUGCUGGUGUUCGAAGAAACUGUACAUUCCGACGUCCAAAGGCGGAGACCACUGCGACAGCGGCAGGCCUUUCCUCCGCUGCUACGGCGGUUCCUUUUCUUACGAAACCAAUGAUUGCCGUAAUAUGUCAACUGGAACUUCCACCGGUAAACGCUACCCAGCGUAUAAUACUAUCUUAUCGCAUUUCCUGCGCCAACAACAUUCUGCGAAGAUAGCAGAUAAUUGUCCCGCACAUAUAUGCGUCCGCUUAAUUAGGCCAUUGUCAUGUUGAUCAAAAUGCAGUUUCCCCUCGGCCUGUCCCCUUUUCGUGUCGUACACCUGCCUAAUCACCGCGGCAUGCCGCAAUCAAGGUGACCUUUACGAUAAGCCCUUCCUCGGAAAAUGACAAACAGCGCCAUAAAGAUAUCGACCGGCGCAGAACUUAUCGGAAAUACGUGAAAACUCCUGUCAGUGUCCAGUUCACAUUCCGGACCCACAGUACUCGAACAACCAGACAAUAACCUUGGACGAGUCAGCAGCAGCCGGUGACGCACGUGGGGAUUUCCGGAAAUUAUCGCAAAUAAUAUAUCGUCAAAAAUGAAUUCCAUCCGAAAUCCGUAAUAAUGAUGAAUUUAUUAGGGUUGACAAUUCUGCGCACAAGCUGGUUGAACUGUGCCGAUAAACUCUGCUGUUUCCGGUUGUAAACAAAUACACAUAAUAUUUCGUAUGUACAAAAGGAAUGCCUCAGGGGAUAGUCAUAGAAUAUCAGCCAUAAAAGUUACACCGCUCCCAUUUACGGAUUAUCAAUAUUCGCCGGAUGUACCACGGUCAUAAAUCAAAGAAAUAACGAAUACAUUAACUUAAAUGACAUUUAGCCAAUAAUUAGUUUCGUGGUAGCGAGGCGAGGAAGAUGGCCGAAAGGGGUGGGGUGUUGUUGGCGCCGGUAUUGCACACCGGGAAGUUGGUCGUCAGAUCCCACGUGGUCGGGCUCAGAUCGCUGAAACGCCGGCAGAUCUGCGCGAAAUAAUAAUUAGCCAGAUUCUCCAUGUAGCGCUUCUGCUCGCUGGUUAACAGCGGAGGCCGAAUGCGGGUGAUUAUCCAGAAGAACGGCUGGUCGCACCGGCGCCCGUCCCGGUUGGCGGUCUCGCAGCGGUACAGCAGUUGCACCAGGACCUUUUUGCAUACCGAGCGGCGCCGUGGGUCCGCCGAUCUGGGCGAGGACCGUCCGGUGGCCGUUGGACGAGUAGUUGCCCUGCUGCGGGAAGUUGAUACACAUCAGGGGAUCGGCGGCACCCGGGAUGUUGGCGAACAUGUUGUAGAUCCACGUGACGAAGUAGGAACUGCCCGGCGGCGUCCCGGGCGUCGGUCCCAGGAUGGUGGCGUUCAUGAAAACAUUCACGCCCGAGGGAUCAUUGCCCACCGGGCCGUUGCGGUACAUGUACUCGUACCAGAUUCCCGCUGCCUGCAAUUUUCCAGCAGAAGUUCACAAUUUAUUUAUAUAUUUAUUUACCUACAUAAAAUAAAAUAAUAUAAUUAAUAUAAUAAUAUAAUACGAGUAAUAUAAUGUAUUAUAUUUAUUUACCGAAAUAAAAUAAUAUAUUAAAUAUACAUACUCUUUAAAAAUGGCAUAAUUAAUAAUAAAAAAUUAUAUAUAUAAAAAUAUAAUAUGCGGGCUUUUAUAAAAAUCCAAAUAUAAAAUAUAAAUAAAACAAGAAGAUUUUAUUUAAACGGAAAUUAAGAAAGAAUCACUAGCGUGAUUACUUUGGUGACGUCGACCGGUUGACCCGGAACAUCCAGCGGAAUAUCGGGACACUGUAUGGACUGCGCGCGUGUCGACGCUGCCGCGGUUAAAAAAACACUCAAAAUUACACCGAUCAUCUUCAGUUCUUUUUGCUAGCGUGUAACCGGUUAGUUUUCUCGUCUGGAUUGUGCGCGCUUCAUUUAUUUUAUAUGGAGAGAAAAAACUGCCGGUGUCAGCUGAGUUUGUUUGUUGUCGAGGUCUGUACAAUAAUGGUAGUGUAAGGUUCGGUAUUAUGAACGCCAUAUCGUUACAGAACCCACAUCAGCCGAUUACGAUCCAUAAAAAAAAAUUCUGCUGUGCUGCGUAACACAGUGAUCUGUCAUGUUCAACAUCAAUAAUACCGUCUUGUAUAUUUGCACGUUUUUCCCCAUGUAACCAGACACCAUGCGAGUCGUCGAACGCCAGUGCUAACACGGACAAAAGUCCGCGUCUCACUGUUAAAAAAUUUAUAUACGUAUAAUGUACUAACGUGACGACCGACAAUUCACUGCUGUCUUUUUCGUUGUCUUUUUUGAAAUAUUUUUGUAGUUACGAUAAUCGUUAAUAUUGACAGCAUAGCGGCUUAAUUUGACGAUCAUCCGAUAAAGGUCACUUUUGAGUUAUACGCUUCAAAGUCCAAUCGAGCCAAAUAUAAUUAACACCGACUGAAUCAUCAUCCUUCCGAUGACGCCAGGACGUUUGCACGGAACGAUAUGAUUAUUAACGCAAUGCCACGGAAACAGGAGCGGAAAUGGUGCCGCGCAAUCGCCAUUGCCAAUGUUUUCCGUAACAAUUCACUUCCGCUGUUAAUCGCCCACCGCGCGGCAUCCCGUCAACCGCUGCCAAAUGACGAUUAAACGGCGCCGGCAUCGUGAAUGACGCACUGUUAUCUUCCUAAAGGUCACCUUCCCGUUAUUGUCCGGCGAGCACUGACAAUGCUGGCUGCAUCCGGCACACAACGCACAAUGCGCUGUUUACGUAACCUUCACGCGUUCUUUAUGAUUAGAUUACCCGUUUCUUCAUUCGUUUUAUUGGCGCGCUGUAAUGUCCAGCGGCACGCGACGCCGUUAACGUGUAUCCCGAUAACAAUGAGCUACCUGAAUUGUUUAUUCGAACUUCGGCUGAUUGAAUUCUCUGCGCAAUGUGUGUGACUGAGCAGAGUGCAGAAUUACACAGUGUUAAUUGUGCCGAUAUUUGCGUUUAAUUAGUGUUAUGACAAUGGGUUUCCGGUUGCACCUACGCUGUUGGCGCACGGAAGCGAGGAAUGUUCAGACAAUGACGCUGAUAAAAAGAUCAUGACCUUGGCUGUAAUAAACGCAGGAUACGCACGCUACACAACACGGGACAAUGAGCGUCAUUGUUGUUUUAUUAACGCCGAUAAGGGACAAUGUUGGCGCGUGCGAUGAAAGACGGCCGCAGCGUUGGGGAAAUU
This is a long non-coding RNA of Paramacrobiotus metropolitanus, 3296 nucleotides long. RefSeq lists it as uncharacterized. Lineage: Eukaryota; Metazoa; Tardigrada; Eutardigrada; Parachela; Macrobiotidae. The record is from RefSeq and is a predicted model, not a curated record. The transcript has 3 exons.